UACGAGGGGGGCAAGCGUUGUUCGGAUUUACUGGGCGUAAAGGGCGCGUAGGCGGCGCAACAAGUCACUUGUGAAAUCUCCGGGCUUAACUCGGAGCGGCCAAGUGAUACUGUCGUGCUAGAGUGCGGAAGGGGCUACUGGAAUUCUCGGUGUAGCGGUGAAAUGCGUAGAUAUCGAGAGGAACACCUGCGGCGAAGGCGGGUAGCUGGGCCGACACUGACGCUGAGGCGCGAAAGCCAGGGGAGCGAACGGG
RNAcentral lists this ribosomal RNA (253 nucleotides) under uncultured bacterium. Its description in RNAcentral is "partial 16S ribosomal RNA". It matches the Rfam family "Bacterial small subunit ribosomal RNA", at positions 524 to 776 of the family's 1533-position model. The record is from RNAcentral.